UACAGAGGCCACAAGCGUUAGGCGGAAUCACUGGGCUUAAAGCGUGUGUAGGCGGGAUGGUAAGUACUUUGUGAAAUCCCACGGCUCAACCGUGGAAAUGCUUGGUAUACUGCCGUUCUUGAAUCACCUAGGGGCAGCUGGAACUGAUGGUGGAGCGGUGAAAUGCAUAGAUAUCAUCAGGAACGCCAAUGGUGCAGACAAGCUGCUGGGGGUGUAUUGACGCUGAGGCACGAAAGCUAGGGGAGCAAACGGG
RNAcentral lists this ribosomal RNA (253 nucleotides) under uncultured bacterium. Its description in RNAcentral is "partial 16S ribosomal RNA". It matches the Rfam family "Bacterial small subunit ribosomal RNA", at positions 524 to 776 of the family's 1533-position model. RNAcentral also lists the same sequence under 1 other name. The record is from RNAcentral.